AAAACAUUGCUAUUUGACCUCACACAUAAAUAGUAUAUCCUGCCCAGUGAAAAAUUUUUUUAACGGCCGCGGUAUCCUAACCGUGCAAAGGUAGCAUAAUCACUUGCCUAUUAAUUGUAGGCUAGAAUGAAGGGGCUAACGAGAUUACAACUGUAUCUAGUGAACAAAUAUAAAUUAACAUAAAAGUGAAGAGGCUUUUAUAUUAUCGCAGGACAAGAAGACCCUAUAGAGCUUUAUUUACACGCAAGACCUUAAAUAACAAUCUUACAAAAAAUUCGGUUGGGGCGACCCGGGUAUAUAAAUCAACCCUAAUUAAAAAGACUUACAAGUCUAAUAAAUAGAUCCAAUAUCCAAUUGAUCAAAGAAUCAAGCUACCUUAGGGAUAACAGGCUAAUUUUCUUUAAGAGUUCAUAUCUACAAGAAAGAUUGGCACCUCGAUGUUGGCUUAGAAGUAUCUUCAUAGUGCAGAAGCUAUGCAAGAUGGUUUGUUCAACCAUUAAAUUUCU
This 506-nucleotide ribosomal RNA is filed under the name Heterodrilus koreanus. RNAcentral's name for it is "Heterodrilus sp. n. JL-2020 partial large subunit ribosomal RNA". It matches the Rfam family "Bacterial large subunit ribosomal RNA", at positions 1810 to 2597 of the family's 2925-position model. Lineage: Eukaryota; Metazoa; Annelida; Clitellata; Tubificida; Naididae. The record is from RNAcentral.